Molecule: ribosomal RNA, 460 nt
Filed under: uncultured bacterium
Lineage: Bacteria
Description: partial 16S ribosomal RNA
Rfam family: Bacterial small subunit ribosomal RNA
Source: RNAcentral
CCUACGGGCGUCAGCAGUGAGGAAUAUUGGUCAAUGGGCGAGAGUCUGAACCAGCCAAGUAGCGUGAAGGAUGACUGCCCUAUGGGUUGUAAACUUCUUUUAUAUGGGAAUAAAGUGUUCCACGUGUGGGUUUUUGUAUGUACCAUAUGAAUAAGGAUCGGCUAACUCCGUGCCAGCAGCCGCGGUAAUACGGAGGAUCCGAGCGUUAUCCGGAUUUAUUGGGUUUAAAGGGAGCGUAGGUGGAUUGUUAAGUCAGUUGUGAAAGUUUGCGGCUCAACCGUAAAAUUGCAGUUGAAACUGGCAGUCUUGAGUACAGUAGAGGUGGGCGGAAUUCGUGGUGUAGCGGUGAAAUGCUUAGAUAUCACGAAGAACUCCGAUUGCGAAGGCAGCUCACUGGACUGCAACUGACACUGAGGCUCGAAAGUGUGGGUAUCAAACAGGAUUAGAUACCCGAGUAGUC